This 527-nucleotide ribosomal RNA is filed under the name Stutzerimonas stutzeri. RNAcentral's name for it is "partial 23S ribosomal RNA". It matches the Rfam family "Bacterial large subunit ribosomal RNA", at positions 910 to 1436 of the family's 2925-position model. Lineage: Bacteria; Pseudomonadati; Pseudomonadota; Gammaproteobacteria; Pseudomonadales; Pseudomonadaceae. The record is from RNAcentral.
CUGUUAUGGCUAGGGGGUCAUCGCGACUUACCAAACCAUUGCAAACUCCGAAUACCGAGACGGACUGUAUGGGAGACACACGGCGGGUGCUAACGUCCGUCGUGAAAAGGGAAACAACCCAGACCCACAGCUAAGGUCCCAAAUUCAGUGCUAAGUGGAAAACCAUGUGGAAAGGCACAGACAGCCAGGAGGUUGGCUUAGAAGCAGCCACCCUUUAAAGAAAGCGUAAUAGCUCACUGGUCGAGUCGGUCUGCGGGGAAGAUUUAACGGGGCUAAGCACUGAACCGAAGCUUGGGGUGCAUACUUUGUAUGCGCGGUAGAGGAGCGUUCCGUAAGCCUGCGAAGGUGGAUUGAGAAGUCCGCUGGAGGUAUCGGAAGUGCGAAUGCUGACAUGAGUAACGAUAAUGCGGGUGAAAAACCCGCACGCCGAAAGCCCAAGGUUUCCUUGCGCAACGUUAAUCGGCGCAGGGUGAGUCGGCCCCUAAGGCGAGGACGAAAGUCGUAGUCGAUGGGAAGCAGGUUAAUAU